This is a non-coding RNA of Maylandia zebra (zebra mbuna), 430 nucleotides long. Lineage: Eukaryota; Metazoa; Chordata; Actinopteri; Cichliformes; Cichlidae. The record is from RefSeq and is a predicted model, not a curated record.
GGUCGCUGCUUAUAACUCACGCUUUCUAUUACCUGGCUUGCUCAUUUCUCUGCUGAUGGUUUCACUGCGACUGGCGGCUCGAAAAAUGAAGCAUCUGGUGGCCGAAGCACGAAGAUCUCAAAGAUCAAAGAUCUCAAAACUGGAUUAUCAACACGUUCUCAUUCCCAACUCGUCAAACGUGUGACGCAUGGUCAGGCUCCCUCUGCUUCACUUAUGGACGCGCAGGGUACCCCCCUCGCGUCGGGAAUUGACGUGAAGGGUCCUCCGAUUGAAGAGAUUGCUGCGGAAGUGCCUGUUGUCGAUGGAGGAUCACUAACAGGAGCGUGGAAGACUCCAGAAUCCACUCUGGCUGGAAUCCGGUGGAUAUACAGUGUUUACAGGUACAGUACGUGAUAUCAAGGGCAGGCGGUCAACACUGGGGGUAGACAAG